This 492-nucleotide ribosomal RNA is filed under the name uncultured bacterium. Its description in RNAcentral is "partial 16S ribosomal RNA". It matches the Rfam family "Bacterial small subunit ribosomal RNA", at positions 29 to 507 of the family's 1533-position model. The record is from RNAcentral.
AGUGAACGCUGGCGGUAGGCCUAACACAUGCAAGUCGAACGGCAGCACAGUAAGAGCUUGCUCUUACGGGUGGCGAGUGGCGGACGGGUGAGGAAUACAUCGUAAUCUACUUUUUCGUGGGGGAUAACGUAGGGAAACUUACGCUAAUACCGCAUACGACCUACGGGUGAAAGCAUGGGAUCUUCUGACCUUGCGCGAUUGAAUGCGCCGAUGUCGGAUUAGCUAGUUGGCGGGGUAAAGGCCCACCAAGGCGACGAUCGGUAGCCGGUCUGAGAGGAUGAUCAGCCACACUGGAGCUGAGCCACGGUCAAGACUCCUACGGGAGGCAGCAGUGGGGAAUAUUGGACAAUGGGCGGAAGCCUGAUCCAGCCAUACCGCGUGGGUGAAGAAGGCCUUGGGGUUGUAAAGCCCUUUUGUUGGGAAAGAAAAGCAGCAGGUUAAUACCCCGCUGUUCUGACGGUACCCAAAGAAUAAGCACCGGCUAACUUCGUG